This 1311-nucleotide long non-coding RNA is filed under the name Bos indicus x Bos taurus (hybrid cattle). RNAcentral describes it as "lncRNA (ENSBIXG00005014118.1)". The record is from RNAcentral. Lineage: Eukaryota; Metazoa; Chordata; Mammalia; Artiodactyla; Bovidae.
UCACAGGCUUAAAUACAAACGGAAAGGCAUGGGAUGAGGUUGGGGGAGGGGCAGUGUGCUGACCGAGGUGCUGAAUCUUCAUUCCCACCAGGGAAUGGUAAUUUCUCCUUAGUCUGGGACAUCUGCAAUUCUAGCCAGUGUCUCUGGGGAAGAAGGAGUGCUGGGAAGCAGAGGAGAAAUGAGAAGGAAAGGGAAUGACAGAGGGAGGGAGGGAAGGAGAAGGAGAGAAAGAGAGAGAAAAGGAGAGACGCAUUUAGGAGGCGUAACCUCUAAAAAAUAGAAAGAGAUGGGGACUUUUAUUUUGAAAUAUGCUCAUUUUCCUUUGUUUUUCUUUUCUAUCUGGUUUAAAUUAUGUGGAUUUUUGUUUACCCUAGAUAGAGUAUAGAACAGUCUUCCAUCUUCUUUCAAAAUGUUGACAGUUCUAUCAUAUUUCUGACUGUUACAAAAUGCUCCCUAUUCACCCUAGGAAUUCAGUGAAGUAGGGGAAGAGUGGCCACUUUGGACCCGAGGACCAGGGGGCUUGCUACUCUGAUGUCGUGUCAAGGGAGGGCCUUUCAGGAAGCUAGAGCCAGAGGCACAAAGCCUCGGCCCUGGUGAGCUCCCCAAAACCAUGGGCUGCAAGAUGAUCAAGUCUGAAUGCUCAAGGCACCUAAGGGCUCCUCCAGCCCAAUCUGGAGGCCCAGAGAGGGUUGGUUUCUAGUUCAAGGUCAUAUAGCACAUGACAGAGCCAAGCCAGGGAACCCAGGUGAGGAAGAGGAAUAAGCAGAGUCAGGAAGUCCUCUCUGGGUGGAGAUAGCCCAGUUGAGCAUGCUAGUCAGGAUCAUAGACUCCAGGAUGGCUGCUAAGAGACCACUGGCCUCAACUCCAUCAUUUCACAGGUAAGAAUACUGAGACCCCGACGGGAAGUCCAUGAGGCAGAGCAGGCCCAGACCCAGGUCUCCAGACUCACAGCCAUCAGUUUCUCAUGCAACCUUUAAUCUCCCCCCUGUGGAUUCUGAUGCCUCCUCCUACCCCAUGGGAACUUGGAGUCAGAGCCAAAGGAGAAGGGGAGUGGCCAGGGUCCCUGCAGCUCCAGGCACUAAGAGCUGGUUACCUUUCUCCAUCCUCCUCCCGGAAGAGAACAGAGAAUUGGCCUGGACCCCAAUGGCCCCUCCUCCAGGGCAGAGUCAGUCGGUGCCUACCCACACCUGGUACCUCCCUUACUGGCAACAGAGUCCAGAGCUAGUAACAGCCACAGCAGGGACAAAGCCACCUGGGCAGCUGCUGGAGCCACUGGGAGUCACAGGAAGGGAAGGCCCUGGAAGGCCUUGA